AAACCCUGUGGGUAGCCGACAAAAAUCUAUCAACUCUUCCCUUUUUUAUUGUUUCAUCUCUCUGUAAAUCUACGUUAUCAUCACCACUCCUUUCCACUUCCCUUGGUUUCUCCUCAUUUUUUAAUACUUUCAUCGAAUCUUACAGUUAAACAAAAUCUACAAUUGAAGAUUAUGGCCAUGAACCCUGUUAGAACCACCAGAAAGUCUUUUGUUCACCCUGUACUCUUACCUCUUCUAUUUUUUUCUUGAUCAGAUUCUCAGAUGUUUCUUCUUUUCCUUUUUUUUGUUAUUGUGGAUUGAAUUUCGCUUUUUUUUUUCAUUUAAAAAAUACUAUUUAUCUGCAGUGAUGUUGCAAAAAAACUGUUGUGUUUUGGCUAAGAAUACUGUUGACAGAGUUUAACCACUAAUCUUCGUUUGCAGGAACGGAAACUUAAUCAGAAAAAGUUUGAGACGCAGUUUUGGAGCAGCGAACAAACUGUGAAUCAAGAAAAAGACGCUUCUGCGGUGGUGUUACGCCACCGACGCAGCAGGAUAUAAACAAAGGUGUUCCAACCAGUGGAUCCAACAAUAAUAAUGAACCGUCGGUUGUGGUUCCCAAUCAGGUGAAACUCUGGACACUAAGAAGAGGACGCUUCAUGUAAGCGAUUGAUAAGCAAGUGGAGCACGCACAACGUCAGGGACUUCAGGUGCGAAAAUCAUGUGGAGAGAAAGAAUUGAUUCCGACACAUAUUGUGGUUCAGAUUGAAGCGCUCCAAAGAGAGGUCAAGAGUCCAUUUUCACCAGAAGUGGUGUUAGGGAAGGAAGCAUGUCCUAAGAUUGAUCCGGAGACAGCUUUGAAUAAAUUUCAUUGCGCACACGAGGUGUCUGAGCGUGUUUCAAAUCUUGGAAAUUCAAGUUUAAAAGGAGGAACAUGGGAAAGGAAAGACAAAAGAAGCAUGUCCAGUACACUGCAUCUCAGGAAGAACAUCGAGGGUGCUGGCUGCAAAGGAGAAAGGAGAAACAAUUCUUGAAGUCUUGCCAGUGGAACCUAUGAGGUCCAGUAGGAGAAGCUUUCCCCUGUACUGAUAGCAAGGAAGGUAUUAAACAAAUUCAUCUCCAAUUCUGAUGAGCAGAUGAAUGUUGGUGGUGACUAGGAACUCCCACAAUCCCUUAAAGACCUCACUGGGAAAAGAUGUUAUAUUUCAGAUCCGUGAAACGCCAUACAAUUUCACCCCAAACCACCGCACUUUCACUGCAAUCAGUGACCACAUCAACCAGGAGACUUUCAACACCAAUGAAGCUCCAGUUGUUGAAGGGGAAGGUGGCCAAGCAUCCGCUUCUGCCAGCAAGGAGGUUGUAGGUGACAGCAAUGAGCCUAAUCCAUUCGGUUUGAGGGCAAGUCGGGUGGCCGCAAAUGUCCCCGUGAGUGAAAUUACAAAGCUGUCAAACCGUCAACCCAACUCUUCUUCAGUCUCUUCCUUUUUUGAACUUCAGUCUAUUUCCAAUUUCCUAAAUUACUAUGCACUUUUUUUUAAUUUCAGACUUUUUAAUAUUUUUGCUAAUUCAGGGAUUUGUUUUUGUAAUCCAUUUACGGCAAAGUAACUCCUACGGGGAGAUCAGUUUGGAAUAUUUAAUAGUAAUAGUAUAGGGUUGACGUAAUA
Molecule: long non-coding RNA, 1640 nt
Organism: Brassica napus (rape)
Lineage: Eukaryota; Viridiplantae; Streptophyta; Magnoliopsida; Brassicales; Brassicaceae
Exons: 6
Source: RefSeq, a predicted model, not a curated record